UAGGGAAUAUUGGACAAUGGGCGCAAGCCUGAUCCAGCCAUGCCGCGUGAGUGAAGAAGGCCCUCGGGUUGUAAAGCUCUUUUGUCCGGAAAGAAAAGCAUCGGGUUAAUACCCCGGUGUUCUGACGGUACCGGAAGAAUAAGCACCGGCUAACUUCGUGCCAGCAGCCGCGGUAAUACGAAGGGUGCAAGCGUUACUCGGAAUUACUGGGCGUAAAGCGUGCGUAGGUGGUUCGUUAAGUCUGAUGUGAAAGCCCUGGGCUCAACCUGGGAAUGGCAUUGGAAACUGGCGGACUGGAGUGCGGUAGAGGGUAGCGGAAUUCCCGGUGUAGCAGUGAAAUGCGUAGAGAUCGGGAGGAACAUCCGUGGCGAAGGCGGCUACCUGGACCAGCACUGACACUGAGGCACGAAAGCGUGGGGAGCAAACA
This 427-nucleotide ribosomal RNA is filed under the name uncultured bacterium. Its description in RNAcentral is "bacterial SSU rRNA". It matches the Rfam family "Bacterial small subunit ribosomal RNA", at positions 355 to 774 of the family's 1533-position model. The record is from RNAcentral.